GUGAAUUAGUGCCGACUACAAAUUUCAAUAUGGAGGAAAAUGAUGAAAACAUAUCAUGAUGAUAAAAACUGCCUUACACUUGUGGGAAGGUCGUAACCAAUUGAUGGUUUGGAUGCCUGAUGUGAUUGCAUGCUAGCUGGUGAUGGUGGACCGUGUCGCUCAGAGUGCCUCCUCCCGUAUCCCCGUGCCAGUCAGGGCCACAGGCCACACACUGGCUAACAACAAGGUCAAACAGUUGACAAAAGAACAGCCCAAGCACAUAUUUCAGGAAAAUGGACUGGUGGACACACAUUCCAAGAUUGAAGAGACCAGCUCCAAGGAAAACAACACCAAGAAAGACAAGGGUUUUGAAACUUUUGUCAUGACAGGUGACAUGAUAAUUCGGACCACACAGAAAACUAGAGACAAGGGCAACAGAAGCACAUCUGACAGCACUGACACCAGCGACACAGCUGACCUGAGCGACAUAGGUAUACACACCAAUGCUGUUUUUAUAGAGGAAAAAGGCAUUCAAGAGUAUACAGAGGGUACCACUCUCACUAAAGACAAUCAACGGUCUGCAGAGUCUGGUUUUGAGGAUCAGGAUUCAGGGACAUUAGAAAGAGACAGGAGUCAAGCCACUGAGCCCAACAGUGUAUCAGACUUGUCUUUGAUAAGUUCUGAGGACUUGGCAGACAUGACGCGAUCACAGUCCUCAGCUGCAAGUACAUCAGUUUCAUCUGUCUCAACGCCUUCUGAUAUCAAGUCUGACAUAUCGGAACAGACAGUGCUACAGUGUAUUUUAGGGCCAAACGGUCAUUCUUCUGAUCCACUUAUUUCUCCAGAAACUGAUCCAGCAAACAAAGAUAGUGAUACUUAUAGUUCUAGUGAGAAUGUGAAGGAUUAUAGUGAAUCAGAAAAGGACACAGAUUAUUCUAAGAUGGUGACCAGUAAAAGUGCCGAAAAGUUUGUGCAAAUAAAGGGCGGCAGUCAUCAGAGUGUACGUCCUAGCAAAAGUCAAGAGCUCCAAUCUGAGUUCUCUCUAGUGACCAUAGAUAUAGACGAAGAUAAUAAGGCAUAUUCCUUAGAUCAAAUACCACAACAUGGCACUGCCAAUUCAACAGCUUCACUGGAAGGAAUUGGGGAGGGAGAUGCUUUGGUGACCUCCAGAAGUCUUGACAGUUCUCCGGAACACAAGGCAGACCGGUGCCAUGAUAAGGAGUUCAUACCUGGAUUUAUAACACUAGCGGAUGAGCCAAAUAUGAAGAAAGCCAAAACCAAAGAGGAUAAUGAAAUGUUUGGUGAUGGUGCUGCAAACAAUAAUUCUCUAGAGGACUCGCAAAAUAAUGACAAUGGUGAGCGAGAUAAUGGAAAGGCCCAAAGAUAUUCGUUAGACCCAUCCCUAGAUCCCAAUCUCUUAGACUAUCAACCUCUUGCUAAGGGUGUUGAUAGACCAUCAGCACAGCGGCUUGCCAAACGACUGUAUAACUUGGAUGGAUUCAAAAAAUCGGAUGUGUCAAGGCAUCUAAGUAAGAAAAAUGAUUUUGGUGCAUUAGUAUCAGAAGAGUACCUCAAGUUUUUUCAUUUUGAAAAGAAGACACUUGAUCAGGCUCUGAGGAUGUUCCUGUUACAGUUCUGUCUGAUAGGGGAGACACAAGAGAGGGAACGGGUGCUAGCUCACUUCUCCAAGCGAUACAUUGAAAGCAACCAAGGCGUUUAUAAUUCUGAAGAUGCCUGUCAUACGCUUACCUGUGCUAUUAUGUUACUGAACACAGACCUUCAUGGCCAGAGUAUUGGCAGGAAGAUGACAUGUUCUGAGUUUAUAGAAAAUCUGGCAGAGCUCAAUGAUGGUGACAAUUUUCCAAAAGAUCUGCUGAAAAUUAUCUACCAAAACAUCAAGGCUGAGCCUAUUGAGUGGGCGGUUGAUGAUGACCACGAGGAGGAUCACAGUCAGACAGAGGACCGUAAUGCCGCAACACUAACAAACAUGUCAGCACCAGCCUUAGGCGGGAACCCUUUCCUAGGUGCACCUGAUCCAGACAAAGCAACUGAAUACAAAAAUGGCUAUGUGAUGAGGAAGUGUUGUUUGGAAGCAGAUAGGAGAAGAACGCCGUUGGGAAAGAGAGGAUGGAAGAUGUACUAUGUCUCUCUGCGUGAUUUGAUAUUCUACCUCUACAAGGACCAACAUGGAAUGAAGAAAGGACAGCUCAUACAGGGCUCCAACAAUGCCAUACGUAUCCACCACUGCCUUGCCUCCAAGGCUGCUGACUACAUAAAGAAGCAGCACGUCUUCAGGCUUAGCACUGCAGACGGGGCAGAAUAUCUGUUUCAAACAAGUGACAGUCGUGAACUCCAGGAAUGGAUUGAGACCAUCAAUUAUGUGUCAGCUAGCCUUUCCUCCCCACAACUGCCUGGAGCUGUGGGCUCACAAAAGAAGUUCCAGAGACCCUUGUUACCAGCGGCUUACACCAGAUUUAAUCUGCACGAUCAGCUACAGCGUCAUGAAGCCAUGUGUGACCAGGUGGAGAUUGACCUCCAGGAUCAUCGCCAGUUUCCCCCAGAAAAGGGGGCCAAGUCCCGCCUUAUACAAGACUAUUUGGAAAAGGAAAGCUUCCUGGAGAGUGAGAUGAAGCGAUACAAGACAUACACGUACCUACUCCAGUCCAGGAUGAGUGUAUACCCGGAGCUGGAGCCUUCCCUGGUGGAGACUGUCAUUGGGGAGGAUGAGGAGAAUGGACAGGCAGAUGAGGUCAAAGUCAUACAAAAACGACCGGUGCAGCGAUCCCUGUCUGAUAGGUACAGUUACCGUGCCGCUAUCUAUCAAAACCAACACAUAGAGUAUGACAUUAUCUGAGAGCUUGUACUGUGAGAACAAGGAAAGUGCAAUAAGUAUUCAUCAAUGUGAAAAUGGAAAGAAAUUGAUUUGUGAUCAUUGAUGAAAGCAGAAAAAUUGAAAUAUUGAGUGCUUUGUUGUGAGGAAGGUUUUAUAUGAAUGAACUUUUGUUUGAUAUAUCUGAAUAUGACAUGUAUACUAAUGGCGCUGGUACAUGUUGGGAUCUACUGGUACUUCUUUACACUAACUAUACAUAUAUAUAUGGAUUAGAUUAGCAACAAAUUAUCCAAUAUUAUCACAUUUAUCACAAUGCAUGCUGAUUUGCUGGUAGAAAACACUGCAUGUUUGUAAAGCUAGAACAUCCACAUAUGCUAGCCGCUCCAUCAUCAGUCUCACACGGUCCACAUGCCAAACAAACACAGACCUGAUUAGGUGUUCUGUAUAUUGACUACUAAUCAUGUAUAAAUAAGCAUUACUGAACAGAUUUCCCCUAAAUUCGUGGAUUUUAAAUAUAUAUUUUACAGGUCAUUGUUGAUCGAGUACGUACCAAUCGGGCAACACAAAUUGAAUCUGUAAUUAUGUUUCCUCACAUGAAUGAAUGCCUAGAAAUUAUAUGUGCUGGUUGAUGCUACCUUUGAUGAAUUUUAAUUAAUUUCUGGUUAAUUGUAGCCUGGUCAUUGUGUUUACUUUUUUCAACCUCACCUAAUUUUUAGGAGGUUGAUUGUAAUAGCAGACUUUAGAAAUCCAUCAACUUACAUUACCUUAGGUAAAAAACACAAUGUAUUCGCAGGAUUUAGGUGUACUGAUAACAUUACCUUAGGUAAAAAAACAAUGUAUUCGCAGGAUUUAGGUGUACUGAUAACAUUACCUUUGGUAAAAAACACAAUGUAUUCGCAGGAUUUAGGUGUACUGAUAACAUUAUUAAUAAAUUACAGUUCUACAGUGCUAUUUCAUACAAACUUUGUGAUAUAGACAAUAGCUUUAUUAGAUGUGAUGUAUCAAGUUUGCAAUGAAAACAUAUAAUAAGUUAUAAAAUAUCUUCACCUAAGUUACCUGUUGACAUGUUUGAUUCUUCAUAUCAUUUUUUACCUCUGUGAGGUUUUUAAUCAAUUUUUAAUUUCUUCCAAAUGUCUGGUGCCCUUGCACUAUAAGAAACAAUCUGUCAUUUUAUAACAUAAUCAAUAACAUACACUUCUUGUUUAAACUAUAUUUGUAUAAUACAUUACCGUUUUUUUUUUGUUUUCAAAAGAUUGUUGUACUUGUACUAUAAGUUAAAAGCUUUGAUCUAUAAAGCAAUUUGUUUGUUUUGUUUGAAUUUUAUGCAAUUUUUACUGCUUUAAUUAUUGACUAAGAGGUUGAAGGUAUUGAUUUUAAUCUGCUUGAAUUCUCUUUACUUUAUCUAUGAUUUCCUGUCUUAAAAAGAUUGUGCCAUUAGCUUUAUCAUAACAAGAUACAGGGUAGUCACCAUUCAAACAUGUACACAUAUUUACUGUAAUACUUUCCACAUUUAAUCAGAUAAAAACAGAAGGAGGCAGAAAUUCUGUAUAUAUUGAACAUAUAUAAAUAUAUAUCUCAUGCAAAACAUCUAGUCAGAAUUUGUGAGGGGUCUGGUGUCUCUAGUUGUCAUGCUCAUAGUUGUCCAAGAUCUUGUCAUUCAUAUAUGAGUGACUCUUGUAAUUUUUAAGUUCUUGAAAUGAAAUUGCGAAUCAAAGUAGGUAGAUGAAGGGGAAAAUGACUAUUGAAGACAGAAUCAUCCAUAUGUACAUAAUACAUUUUUGUUUUUGUCAGGAGAGAGGGUAUGUUGGCGGUUACGUACAUGUACAUUAUAUUUUAAUGUCUAUAUUUGCCAGGAGGAGAUUUGUUGAUGGCUGGUACCAUAUACAUUGUAUUUUGUUUUUAUAUU
Molecule: unclassified non-coding RNA, 4715 nt
Filed under: Mizuhopecten yessoensis (Yesso scallop)
Lineage: Eukaryota; Metazoa; Mollusca; Bivalvia; Pectinida; Pectinidae
Description: pH and SEC7 domain-containing protein 2-like, transcript variant X2
Source: RNAcentral